AGGCAUCCAUCAUGGCGGUAGAAGAAAUGCCAAAACUGGGGUCUGCAAUUUGAGCAUAAUAGUUCUGCAUUUUCUAGCCACUUUUUCUCGUUAUUUUUUCGAGAUAAGCUUCCAGCAGGCGUACAACCUCCUAUAGGAGAACUUUUAUCUUGGUCAACAAAAGGAGGCUUUCUGACAGUAGACGCGCUGUUAUCGCCACCCUCCGGAGGUUAUCUACCUUUAUUUACAGCUGGAGUUUUGUUUGAGAUUGAGUAUAUCUUGAUGAAGCUGAACAGUAAUGACAAAGACCCGAAGACGGAAGCAGCCAUGACAUCUGUAGCCAC
This 323-nucleotide unclassified non-coding RNA is filed under the name Lingula anatina. Its description in RNAcentral is "uncharacterized LOC106162456, transcript variant X1". The record is from RNAcentral. Lineage: Eukaryota; Metazoa; Brachiopoda; Lingulata; Lingulida; Lingulidae.